This 385-nucleotide ribosomal RNA is filed under the name uncultured bacterium. RNAcentral's name for it is "bacterial SSU rRNA". It matches the Rfam family "Bacterial small subunit ribosomal RNA", at positions 28 to 411 of the family's 1533-position model. The record is from RNAcentral.
GACGAACGCUGGCGGCGUGCUUAACACAUGCAAGUCGAGCGGUAAGGGCCCUUUCGGGGGUACACGAGCGGCGAACGGGUGAGUAGCACGUGGGUGACCUGCCCUCAGCUCUGGGAUAAGCCUGGGAAACCGGGUCUAAUACUGGAUAUGACUCCAUGACGCAUGUUGUGGGGUGGAAAGCCUUGUGCGGCUGAGGAUGGGCCCGCGGCCUAUCAGCUUGUUGGUGGGGUGAUGGCCUACCAAGGCGACGACGGGUAGCCGGCCUGAGAGGGCGACCGGGCCACACUGGGACUGAGACACGGCCCAGACUCCUACGGGAGGCAGCAGUGGGGAAUCUUGCGCAAUGGGCGAAAGGCCUGACGCAGCGACGCCGCGUGAGGGAUGA